GACGGGCAUGUCCAAAUGGUUCGUAGAAUGCGAACGGGUGUGUUGUCGGCUGACGGGCAUGUCCAAAUGGUUCGUAGAAUGCGGACGGGCGCGUUGUAGGCUGACGGGCAUGUCCAAAUCGUUCGUAGAAUGCGGACGGGUGUGUUGUAGGCUGACGGGCAUGUCCAAAUCGUUCGUAGAAUGCGGACGGGUGUGUUGUCGGCUGACGGGCAUGUCCAAAUGGUUCGUAGAAUGCGAUCGGGUGCGUUGUAGGCUGACGGGCAUGUCCAAAUGGUUCGUAGAAUGCGAUCGGGUGCGUUGUAGGCUGACGGGCAUGUCCAAAUGGUUCGUAGAAUGCGAUCGGGUGCGUUGUAGGCUGACGGGCAUGUCCAAAUCGUUCGUAGAAUGCGGAUGGGCGCGUUGUAGGCUGACGGGCAUGUCCAAAUCGUUCGUAGAAUGCGAACGGGUGCGUUGUAGGCUGAUGGGCAUGUCCAAACGGUUCGAAGAAUGCGAACGGGUGUGUGAUUGUGCCCUGCAACGGGUUGACGCAAUGUCCAGGGUGUCCCUUGUCUUGUGCCCCGAGUCCCAUUGAAGAGGCUCCAGGCUCCCUGCGACCCUGUGUAGGAUAACCUGUACUGAAGAUAGAUGGAUCAAGGGGAUGAA
Ictalurus punctatus (channel catfish) is the source of this 642-nucleotide long non-coding RNA. Lineage: Eukaryota; Metazoa; Chordata; Actinopteri; Siluriformes; Ictaluridae. The record is from Ensembl.